CCCAGUACGGCACUAGUAGGACGCCGCCCUCCUUAAACGCCCGCCGCAGCUGCCGAAUGCGAAUGGCCGUACCCCCUUCCACAGCAGCGCUGGGGUCUUGCUGCUGCGUUUGUGUCAAGAGGUAACGUUUCGGUCCGAGGAACUCCACCGCCGCCUGCUGCCCGUCACUCAGCCGCACCACCGCAUCCACUGGCGCCAACACUCCUGGCGCGACAACGCCCGUCUGAAGGGACUGAACGGCUAGGCCCCCUGCUGCCUUGAGGCCCUGCUGCUCAAGCCGCCGCAGCGCUGCAACGACCUGCUUUUGAGUAUCUGAUGUGGGCUUGGCGUCUUCCCUCUCAGUAGUCACCGCCGCUGCCAUCGCCGCCUGCAGUCCGCUGCCGCUGCCCAGGGCCGCCGCCACCUCGCCGCCUAGCUCCUGCUGCGCCUGCCACAGCUGUUUGAGAUGCUCAGUUGUAAGACCCUCCCAACGGCUUACUGCUUCACGGGCCAGCUGAAUGGAUAGCUGCUUCAUGUCGGGAGAAUACGUGCCUCCGAACACAGCCAUGGCCCACAGGCUGUUGCAUACGUGCUGGUGCAGGACUGUGUCAGAGUCAUGCUGCAGCAGCUCGCCCAGCCGACCGCACACCGCCGCCUCCAAGCCAGCGUGCCGCAGCUGCAGCACCGCCAGCGCGUACAGCGUAUUGGCACAGUUCUGACCACCGGCACUACUGGCGCGCAUGGCUGCUACUGCUGCGCCCGAGUCAAGCAGCUCCGCCGGCGGCUGGUGGCGCAUCAACGCAAGCGCGUACAGCAGAUUGGACCAGGCCUGAGAUGUUGCGCGGGCCAUGGCGCCCGACUGCGUUGCUGCGUCCACCGCUGCUGAAACCCACUGCCGCUGCUCGGCCGGCGCCUCCGGGCCCGCCCCAAAUCCCAUCUUGGCUAGGGCCCACGCUGAGUUGCUGAGGUCCUGAGCGAUGUACCCGUCAAACCCCCGCCGCAUGUCCUCUUCGGCCACUGCCACCACCAGCUCUGCCUGCUCGCUGCAUAGCUGCAGCCCCUCCAGCGCCAGCAGGAUGUUGGAUAGCUGUUGCGGGAUAAAUGCUGCAGCGAGCUCCGGUUUCCGGAGCUGCUGCAGUGCCUCCCCGCACAGCGCCUCAACUGCUGACCGGUACUCUGGUCCUGUGCACCCCAGAGCUUUGAGAGCCCAUAGGCUGUUUGAAACAUCUUGCGGCUUGAAGCCGUGGCCCGCCACCGUUCUCAAGCGAGAAGCCACAGCUGCCGCCAAGGUCUGCAAGUGCGGAGAUGAGGUGGGGUCCCAGCCUGAGCCCCGCUGCUGCUGGUCUUGCUUGAGCUUGCCGAGCGCGUACAUGACAAUUGCGAGGUUCUGAGGUUCCGCCUUCCCAAGAACCUCAGGAUCCACUAGCCGCUCCAGCAGAGCUGCUGCAAGCUGAGCCUCCGUGCCGCCGCCGACCAAUCCAGCUUUGCCCAGCGCCCACAGCGGAAUGCUGCAGUUCUUUGCGUUGCGGAUGCGCGGCACGAGCGGCAGGUAGGCCGGCGCAAGCAUGCCGAUAAUGCUGCUGCGUGCUACAGCCGUUUGGCUUGCUCCAGCGCGCGACUCCAGCUGCGUUCAAAGCAGUUAUGAGGGACAUACAUGGGGUCAAGUGCUAUAUGCAUGUGUUUGUGCGUGUGCGUGAACAGGUGCGCAUGCAAGUCCUGUGUGGCCAUCUGCGUCGUGAGAACCGGAAGUCCGGGCCGAGAACGACAACAAUGGACUCGCCCUCCAUUCUGCACUUCAUUUCUGUGCCCAUUCCCACCUGCACGUAUUAGUCCUCCCUCUCACCUUGCCGCACAGGUUGAACGCCGCACACAUGGUAAUGAAGUCUUUUCGGCCCUCCCACACUGAUAGCCGCUGGCUGAUGAUUGCUUGCAGCUCCUCCAGAGUCCGACACACGGUCAUGUCAUCCGCGGGGUCACGCCCGCUGCCCCUGCUUCUGCCGCUGGCGCGGCUGCCAUCGCCUGCCCUGCCUCCGCCGCUUCCCCUACCCGCCGCCGCCUGCACUAUUGGCCGCCCGAGGCGGGAGCUACUGCUGCCGCAGAGCACUACCGCCGUCGAGACGCGCAGUGGGGAUGAGCUGCUACUGUUGAGUGCUGGGACAGAAGUAGCGGCGGCAGCGCGCGGUGAGCUGGGGCCGGUGUCGGCAGCGGUCCGAUGCAUGCCAUAAACGAACAGUCUUCUAAACGCGCACGCCGGUGGCGGUGCCUGGAGACGGGCUGAUAACGAUUGGCUACAGCCAUGUACGCUGUGCCUGUGCGCACCAGCGGGAGAGCCCGCGACGACGCGCAGGGCGAGCAUCUCGGGCCUCCUCACGGCGGCGACCUGAGCUAUAGCGACUCUAUCCGUCUACGUGUCUGAGCACUGCAAAUGCAUUAGGCUUGCAUUUGUGGGAGAAUAACGCAAGGAACGAAAGGUCAGGUGCGUGUAGGUCGCUGGGCCAAAGCCGCCUGAGUAGCUGUGGCUUGGUAUGGAUGAUAAAGCAACUGAAUCAAUUUGCCACCGGUGUUGAGGCGAGGGCGACCUGACCGCGAAAUACACGGCCCGAGGGCACGCCCCGUAUCAACACCCCUCGCGACCUCCAAACACGUGCACUGAACCGCGAAGCCCUCCCCCAAGCCUAUCGCGGCUGCUAUUCCCAUGUCCUCCUCCCCAACCAUUCUGCAUACAGGCUCUGGCGUGAGUCCCUGCCCGCGUCAUUUGACACCCGUCGACCACGACUGAGGUGCAACGCAUGUCGCUUACAAAUCCAACAUCCCGCCCGACACGAGAGGGGCAGAAACGGCGGGGCAGACGGCCAGCCUCUUGAACAUGAGCAUAGCAGUGCAAUAUCGCACAUUGGGUCCCCGCCUGCUUCACCUGGCCACCUUUGCUGAUUUGUCUGACAUCCCUGUCUACACACUUUUAUCCGCCCACGCUUGAGACGUCCUCCUCAGCGCGCAGGCUUCACGGUACCAACCGUGCGGUAUCAUCGCUACAUGAUGAGUGCACUGCCCCAACCAUUGAAGCAUCACAAGGUGCUUGCCUGCCGCCGCCGCCGCUGAUACGUACACGAUUGCUGCCACACAACCAACACAUCACACCCAACAAUCACAACAACAAAACAACUGAGACCCGCCGCCGUGCAACGCACACUGUACACGCCCCAGGGCCGAGAACACAACGCAACACAAGCACCUGACAUGCCUCAUCCAGGCAUGCGUCACUCAAUCGCCCACCGAGCCGACCUCGCACACGCCGUUCGUGAGCCCCUGCGGCUGACAUGCCCGGCCCUGCCCCCUUGGCACCGCAGCCCUGCCGCCUUGGCACCGCCGCCCAUUGCCCCACCCCCAUGCUGCGUGCCAUGUAAGAAUAAAGCCAGGUCCCCAUCAAGCCGCAGCAUAUAUCCCCGCCAAGCCACCAGACUCCUCUUGCCGCACGCUACCAACCACCACCAGCACAGGACCGGCACCUGCCUGUCCCCCUGUUUAGUUUGGGCUGAUAUUUACAACCCCCCACCCUCCCCUCCCCACCUUCCCCAUUGCCAACCUCGCCCACCGCGCCGACAUGCACGCCGGCACCUCGCUCGUGCCUCUCGAGGCCUCCCAUCUUCCGUAGCUAGAGAUCCCUGUCCACGAGUAUCCACUUGGGCUCCAGCCCACUCCUGAUGCACACGCCGGCAUUACCCAGGUCUGCAUGGUUUGCAUGCCUGCCUGUCUACCGUGCACGCACACCUGCCUAGCUACGCAGACCUACUACCGUCCUUUUUGACCCGCCUCCGCCGCCACCGCCGCCGUCUCCUCCCUCUGGCCGCCGUGCCGGCCGCGCCAGCAGCUGCUGUUGUGGGUUGCCGCCAGAGCCGCCGCCGCCCUUGUUGCUGUUGGUGGUGGUGGUUGCGGGCUGGUGUGGCGCGGCCGUAGUGACAGCCGCAGCGCCGCCCACGGCACCCGCUGUCACUGUUUCCACCGCCACCGCCGGCUGCUGCAGCCGGCGCAGCAGGUAGGCCUCCUGCUCGGAAGGAGUCAGGAAGUCCCAUUCCCAGUACGGCACUAGUAGGACGCCGCCCUCCUUAAACGCCCGCCGCAGCUGCCGAAUGCGAAUGGCCGUACCCCCUUCCACAGCAGCGCUGGGGUCUUGCUGCUGCGUUUGUGUCAAGAGGUAACGUUUCGGUCCGAGGAACUCCACCGCCGCCUGCUGCCCGUCACUCAGCCGCACCACCGCAUCCACUGGCGCCAACACUCCUGGCGCGACAACGCCCGUCUGAAGGGACUGAAC
Molecule: long non-coding RNA, 4288 nt
Filed under: Chlamydomonas reinhardtii
Lineage: Eukaryota; Viridiplantae; Chlorophyta; Chlorophyceae; Chlamydomonadales; Chlamydomonadaceae
Description: long non-coding RNA (CREI_LNC001185)
Source: RNAcentral